RNAcentral lists this ribosomal RNA (450 nucleotides) under uncultured bacterium. RNAcentral's name for it is "partial 16S ribosomal RNA". It matches the Rfam family "Bacterial small subunit ribosomal RNA", at positions 338 to 795 of the family's 1533-position model. The record is from RNAcentral.
CCUACGGGGGGCAGCAGUAAGGAAUAUUGGUCAAUGGACGAAAGUCUGAACCAGCCAUGCCGCGUGGAGGAUGAAGGUCCUCUGGAUUGUAAACUUCUUUUAUAUGGGACGAAAAAAGGCCUUUCCAGGUCGUCUGACGGUACCAUAUGAAUAAGCACCGGCUAACUCCGUGCCAGCAGCCGCGGUAAUACGGAGGGUGCAAGCGUCACCCGGAUUAACUGGGGUGUAGGGGGGUUGGUAUGGCUUGGUAGAAAUCCCCGAGCUUAACUUGGGAACUGCCAUUGAUACUAUCAGUCUUGAAUACCGUGGAGGUGAGCGGAAUAUGUCAUGUAGCGGUGAAAUGCGUAGAUAUGACAUAGAACACCAAUUGCGAAGGCAGCUGGCUACACGAGUAUUGACACUGAGGCACGAAAGCGUGGGGAGCAAACAGGAUUAGAUACCCGAGUAGUC